GCUUAAUUGCGAUAACGAACGAGACCUUANCNUGCUAAAUAGCCCAGGCGUGCUUUGCACGUCGCCGGCUUCUUAGAGGGACUAUCGGCUCAAGCCGAUGGAAGUUUGAGGCAAUAACAGGUCUGUGAUGCCCUUAGAUGUUCUGGGCCGCACGCGCGCUACACUGACAGAGCCAACGAGUACAAUCCUUAACCGAAAGGUUUGGGUAAUCUUGUUAAACUCUGUCGUGCUGGGGAUAGGGCAUUGCAAUUAUUGCCCUUCAACGAGGAAUACCUAGUAAGCGCAAGUCAUCAGCUUGCGUUGAUUACGUCCCUGCCCUUUGUACACACCGCCCGUCGCUACUACCGAUUGAAUGGCUCAGUGAGGCUUUCGGAUUGGCUGCAGGAGGUUGGCAACGACCACCAGCAGCCGAGAAGUUAGUCAAACUUGGUCAUUUANAGGAAGUAAAAGUCSUAACAAGGUUUCCGUARGUGAACCUGCGGAAGGAUCAUUAUUAUAAAAUCSUGGCGCACCCGCGCCGCGUGUAUAUAUCUGUGGGGG
Molecule: ribosomal RNA, 540 nt
Filed under: Hyalorbilia erythrostigma
Lineage: Eukaryota; Fungi; Ascomycota; Orbiliomycetes; Orbiliales; Orbiliaceae
Description: bacterial SSU rRNA
Rfam family: Eukaryotic small subunit ribosomal RNA
Source: RNAcentral